AGAGUUUGAUCCUGGCUCAGGACUAACGCUGGCGGCGUGCCUAACACAUGCAAGUCGAACGGAUGUAGCAAUACAUCAGUGGCAGACGGGUGAGUAACACGUGGUCAACCUUCCGUUUAAUGGGGGAUAACUAGCCGAAAGGUUAGCUAAUACCGCAUACGAUCUUCGAAAGGCAUCCUUUGAAGAUGAAAGCAGUAAUG
Molecule: ribosomal RNA, 200 nt
Filed under: uncultured bacterium
Lineage: Bacteria
Description: partial 16S ribosomal RNA
Rfam family: Bacterial small subunit ribosomal RNA
Source: RNAcentral